AAAGAUUUAGUUAAUUAAUAACAUUAAUUUGUCAAGUUAAAAUUAUUUUCAUAAAAUAUUCUUUA
RNAcentral lists this transfer RNA (65 nucleotides) under Siemssenius fulvipennis. RNAcentral describes it as "tRNA-Asp". The record is from RNAcentral. Lineage: Eukaryota; Metazoa; Arthropoda; Insecta; Coleoptera; Chrysomelidae.